GAUGAACGCUGGCGGCGUGCCUAAUACAUGCAAGUCGAGCGAACGGACGAGAAGCUUGCUUCUCUGAUGUUAGCGGCGGACGGGUGAGUAACACGUGGAUAACCUACCUAUAAGACUGGGAUAACUUCGGGAAACCGGAGCUAAUACCGGAUAAUAUUUUGAACCGCAUGGUUCAAAAGUGAAAGACGGUCUUGCUGUCACUUAUAGAUGGAUCCGCGCUGCAUUAGCUAGUUGGUAAGGUAACGGCUUACCAAGGCAACGAUGCAUAGCCGACCUGAGGGGGGGAUCGGCACAACUGGAACGGGGCACGGUACCGACCCCUAAGGGAGGGAGCAGGUGGGAAUAUUUGCGAAAGGGGGGAAGGCUGAACAAGCCAAGCCGCGGGGGGGAAGAAGGGUUUUGGAAUGGAAAAACCUUUAUGUUGGGAGAAAAGGAAGUGGGAUAAAACCUUGCUCUUUUGACGUUACCAAAAGAAGAAGCACCGGGUAACUUCGUG
RNAcentral lists this ribosomal RNA (496 nucleotides) under uncultured bacterium. RNAcentral describes it as "partial 16S ribosomal RNA". It matches the Rfam family "Bacterial small subunit ribosomal RNA", at positions 28 to 507 of the family's 1533-position model. The record is from RNAcentral.